CAAAGCUAAGAAAAGCCCAAUGACAACAGAUUUUCUACUGGUCAUAGAAAGGGCUUCUCCGUGGCUGGUUCUUCGGGUGCAAGAGAAGUCCGGAAAGGCUAGAUUACCCAGUUCCUUGAAAGCUGGGGUUUAUAAGUGAUAGUGAAUCAUCAGAAGUUUUGUGUGUAUGUGUAGGUAUGUGGGUGCCAUUUUUCCAAAAGCCUGUUAUUUUACAUGAUUCCUACAAAAGGUAGGCAAGGAUCAGUCAUUGGACUAAUGGGAAAAUAGAGAUAAAGUCAUUUUUCCAAGAUACCCUGCAAAUCCUUCACCAUGAUGAUGACAGUAAUGAAAGUAGUAACAGC
Molecule: long non-coding RNA, 341 nt
Filed under: Bos taurus (domestic cattle)
Lineage: Eukaryota; Metazoa; Chordata; Mammalia; Artiodactyla; Bovidae
Description: long non-coding RNA NONBTAT014226
Source: RNAcentral